UCCUUUUGGGACCCAAAAAAAAAAGUCAUUUCAAAUCUCAGUUUUUUGCUUAGAAACAAAACAAAACCCAAGGUUGCAAAUCAUUCAGAUUAAACUUCUAUCAGAUAAAACGAAGUCAAAACGUGAAAUUGAGAUAUAGGGUUAGAGAACCAAAACAAAGAAGAAGAAAAAGUUACCGGGGCGAAACAGAGCGGCUUCGUGGGGCUUUGAGUUUUCACAAGAGGUGCAAAGGCUAAAGAGGUUAUAUUUAGAAGGAUUAACACUUCAGUGAGAUAAAAGAUAAAGAAAGGCGAAC
Long non-coding RNA from Hibiscus syriacus, 295 nucleotides. RefSeq lists it as uncharacterized. The record is from RefSeq and is a predicted model, not a curated record. The transcript has 3 exons. NCBI's taxonomy places the organism in Eukaryota, Viridiplantae, Streptophyta, Magnoliopsida, Malvales, Malvaceae.